UCUACGGGGUGCAGCAGUGGGGAAUAUUGGACAAUGGGCGAAAGCCUGAUCCAGCCAUGCCGCGUGUGUGAAGAAGGCCUUCGGGUUGUAAAGCACUUUCAGUGGGGAAGAAAGCCUUGGGGCUAAUACCCUCGAGGAAGGACAUCACCCACAGAAGAAGCACCGGCUAACUCCGUGCCAGCAGCCGCGGUAAUACGGAGGGUGCGAGCGUUAAUCGGAAUUACUGGGCGUAAAGCGCGCGUAGGCGGUCUGAUAAGCCGGUUGUGAAAGCCCCGGGCUCAACCUGGGAACGGCAUCCGGAACUGUCAGGCUAGAGUGCAGGAGAGGAAGGUAGAAUUCCCGGUGUAGCGGUGAAAUGCGUAGAGAUCGGGAGGAAUACCAGUGGCGAAGGCGGCCUUCUGGACUGACACUGACGCUGAGGUGCGAAAGCGUGGGUAGCAAACAGGAUUAGAUACCCUUGUAGUC
This 465-nucleotide ribosomal RNA is filed under the name Vreelandella stevensii. Its description in RNAcentral is "partial 16S ribosomal RNA". It matches the Rfam family "Bacterial small subunit ribosomal RNA", at positions 338 to 795 of the family's 1533-position model. The record is from RNAcentral. Lineage: Bacteria; Pseudomonadati; Pseudomonadota; Gammaproteobacteria; Oceanospirillales; Halomonadaceae.